UACGGGGGGAAGCAAGCGUUUGUUCGGAUUUACUGGGCGUAAAGGGCGCGUAGGCGGCCACCGCAAGUCGGUUGUGAAAUCCCCGGGCUUAACCUGGGAACUGCAUUUGGGACUGCAAGGCUCGAGUACGGCAGAGGGAGGUGGAAUUCCACGUGUAGCAGUGAAAUGCGUAGAGAUGUGGAGGAACACCGAUGGCGAAGGCAGCCACCUGGCAUAAUACUGACGCUGAUGCGCGAAAGCGUGGGGAGCGAACAGG
RNAcentral lists this ribosomal RNA (256 nucleotides) under uncultured bacterium. Its description in RNAcentral is "partial 16S ribosomal RNA". It matches the Rfam family "Bacterial small subunit ribosomal RNA", at positions 524 to 776 of the family's 1533-position model. The record is from RNAcentral.